RNAcentral lists this ribosomal RNA (253 nucleotides) under uncultured bacterium. RNAcentral's name for it is "partial 16S ribosomal RNA". It matches the Rfam family "Bacterial small subunit ribosomal RNA", at positions 524 to 776 of the family's 1533-position model. The record is from RNAcentral.
UACGUAGGGCGCGAGCGUUGUCCUGAAUUAUUGGGCGUAAAGAGCUCGUAGGCGGCCUGUUGCGUCUGCUGUGAAAUCCCGGGGCUUAACCCCGGGCGUGCAGUGGAUACGGGCAGGCUGGAGGCAGGCAGGGGAGAAUGGAAUUCCCGGUGUAGCGGUGAAAUGCGCAGAUAUCGGGAAGAACACCCGUGGCGAAGGCGGCACUCUGGGACGGUACUGACGCUGAGACGCGAAAGCGUGGGGAGCGAACAGG